AGGAAACCUAAAUCUCUCUACGGCCUACGGCCUAUGCAUAUAUAAUAAUAGAGAGAAAGCAAAGCAGAAAGUCAAAAUGGAAAUGCCCACAAAAGUUAUCUGUUAAAAGAAGCAAUGUAGAGAUGGAAAGAUGCUCAACUAUUUGAACUUUGAAACAAAUGAAUAUGUGCCCACCAUGUGUUCGAUAUUUUAACCCGAAAGAGCAAAACAAUUUGAGUAUAUUCCUUCUUGCAAAGCUGUACUUUUGAGCUUUUUCUUUUCUAUAUCCGAC
This 271-nucleotide long non-coding RNA is filed under the name Gossypium barbadense (sea-island cotton). Its description in RNAcentral is "long non-coding RNA (GBAR_LNC016291)". The record is from RNAcentral. Lineage: Eukaryota; Viridiplantae; Streptophyta; Magnoliopsida; Malvales; Malvaceae.